RNAcentral lists this RNase P RNA (288 nucleotides) under Arenimonas sp. RNAcentral's name for it is "partial RNase P RNA component class A". The stretch from base 38 to 288 matches the Rfam family "Bacterial RNase P class A", at positions 1 to 310 of the family's 367-position model. Rfam says of the family: Ribonuclease P (RNase P) is a ubiquitous endoribonuclease, found in archaea, bacteria and eukarya as well as chloroplasts and mitochondria. The record is from RNAcentral. Lineage: Bacteria; Pseudomonadati; Pseudomonadota; Gammaproteobacteria; Lysobacterales; Lysobacteraceae.
GAAGCAAGCCAAGACAGCCGCUGGCGGCUGCAUCGGGUGCGCGGGUGACUUCGGUCACCCCAAGCCUGCUGCAGCUGCGGGAGGAAGGUCCGGACUCCAUAAAGCAGGGUGACGGUUAACGGCCGUCCGCCGUGAGGCGAGGAACAGGGCCACAGAGACGAGCGUAUUUAGUUACGGUGAAACGCGGUAACCUCCACCCGGAGCAAUUCCAAAUAGGCACGCGUUGAUGCUGCUCGCGGAGCGUGCGGGUAGGAAGCUUGAGCCGUGGAGUAAUUCACGGCCUAGAGG